RNAcentral lists this ribosomal RNA (775 nucleotides) under uncultured bacterium. RNAcentral describes it as "bacterial SSU rRNA". It matches the Rfam family "Bacterial small subunit ribosomal RNA", at positions 28 to 776 of the family's 1533-position model. The record is from RNAcentral.
GACGAACGCUGGCGGCGUGCCUGAUACAUGCAAGUCGAACGCUUUGAUUUUCACCGGAGCUUGCUCCACCGAAAAUCAAAGAGUGGCGGACGGGUGAGUAACACGUGGGCAACCUGCCCAACAGAGGGGGAUAACACUUGGAAACAGGUGCUAAUACCGCAUAAUUUGUUUUUCCGCAUGGAAGAAUAAUAAAAGACGCUUCGGUGUCACUGUUGGAUGGGCCCGCGCUGCAUUAGUUAGUUGGUGGGGUAACGGCCUACCAAGACCAUGAUGCAUAGCCGACCUGAGAGGGUGAUCGGCCACACUGGGACUGAGACACGGCCCAGACUCCUACGGGAGGCAGCAGUAGGGAAUCUUCGGCAAUGGACGAAAGUCUGACCGAGCAACGCCGCGUGAGUGAAGAAGGUUUUCGGAUCGUAAAACUCUGUUGUUAGAGAAGAACAAGUGAGAGAGUUACUGUUCUCACCUUGACGGUAUCUAACCAGAAAGCCACGGCUAACUACGUGCCAGCAGCCGCGGUAAUACGUAGGUGGCAGGCGUUGUCCGGAUUUAUUGGGCGUAAAGCGAGCGCAGGCGGUUUCUUAAGUCUGAUGUGAAAGCCCUCGGCUCAACCGAGGAAGGUCAUUGGAAACUGGGGAACUUGAGUGCAGAAGAGGAGAGUGGAAUUCCAUGUGUAGCGGUGAAAUGCGUAGAUAUAUGGAGGAACACCAGUGGCGAAGGCGACUCUCUGGUCUGUAACUGACGCUGAGGCUCGAAAGCGUGGGGAGCAAACAGG